RNA transcript from Trifolium pratense (red clover), 1898 nucleotides. It is a transcript of the gene named E3 ubiquitin-protein ligase SIS3-like, with no coding region annotated. The transcript is spliced from 7 exons. The record is from RefSeq and is a predicted model, not a curated record. NCBI's taxonomy places the organism in Eukaryota, Viridiplantae, Streptophyta, Magnoliopsida, Fabales, Fabaceae.
AAAAAAUUCACUCAAAUUGUUUUUUAUUUUAUUUUUCUAUAGAAACAACAUAUAACCUUUUUAUUGUUUAUCUUUCCCCCAAAUUUCCCAGAAUCGCAAAUCCUCCACCGAAUCGCAAAUCCUCCACCGAAUCGCAAAUAUGGAACCACAAACCCCUCCGCCGAAUCCCUAAUCGAAGACUUAAACCCCUUCGCCGUUCUCCUUCGUUCAAUUCGUCAAUUUCUCCGCCGUUUUCCUUUACUCCUCCGCCUUUCUCCACCGUUCUCCGCGGUUCUGAGGUAUCGAUUCAAUUGUUCUCUCUGUGAAUCAAAGAAGCCCCUUUGUGAGUUGUUCUUAUGGUCUCAAGUUAUGCUUUGUGUUUUUGUUUCUUUUAAUGGAUUUUUUUAUUUCCCCUUAGAAGCCCCUUUGUUUUUGUUUCACUCUCAAUUUAUGCUUUGUUUCUUUUGCUAUACUGUACUAUUUUUUAUUUCCCUGGAUAUGAGGUUUUAAUCUUUGUGCUGAUUUUAAUUUUUAAUGAUAUAUUGAUGAUGUAUGGAACAAAUGCAUUUUGUAGUAGUAGUGACCGAGCCUUGAGGAUUGUAUAUGGUUAUUCCAAUCAUGAAAACAUUGGUCACCUUAACCCAGUUAGACUUACAGGUAUGUAUCCAUUCAUUCCAGAUUACAUGUGCAGAUUCGCCGACUUCCAUUGCGUGUGUAUGUAGCAUUUCUGCUACUUAUUGUUAGCUUUUUUUUUUGACACAGUUACUUAUAAUGUAUCUAAUACUUAGACGUUGAAGAAGAUAUUUCCAACUUCAUGGUUUUUGUAAUUAUAUUUUUAGUAAGUGGAUUAUUUGAUUUACUGCUAUGGUUGAAUACUAAAGCAAUUUGAGAGGAUCACUUCUGCCAAUGCUGGAGCCAUUAGUAUCAAGUGGACCACUUCUCAUGUUAUACUCCAAAAUUCCUUCAAGUAGUUAUUGUUUCAAUUAAUUGGAAACGCUAUCAUAUAUUCUUGUACAUACCCAUUGCACAUAUGGAUUGUGGUGGACUAUACUGUCGUGUUUGUUUUUCGGCUCUUGAUGUUUGUCGAUAAUGGGUUUGCUGCAAGAAUGGGUUUGUAAGCCCUUCCAACCAUUCACUUUUUAUAUAUUUAGCUGGUUUUCUUCAUUAUUACUAUGGUAGAUGAGAUGCGGAGUUACACUGUUCUGAUGUGUUUCUUUUAAUCUAUCUAAUUGAAGUUAAGCUAUAUCUAAAUGUACAAUAACCCACACUUUAUAAUCAUCGGCAGUUAAUCAUCUGCAGCUGCCUGAAGAGGAGCAGAAAUGGGGAUUUCUUAUCUGGUUACUUUUUAGCUACUAUGGACUUCUUUGCAUUGCUUGCAUGUCAGUGGGGAUGAUUGUUGCAGGAAUCAUUUUGGCUUAACCCCUUGCAGCGGUUGACUCGACGACAAGCACACCCAGUGCGUUCCCAACAGGGUAUCCCUGUGUCUGAAUAUGGGUUUCCACUUAAAUGCUCAAGACCAAUUUGUUUUUUUCCUCGAAGUAUUUUGAUGAAUACAAAUGUGGUGCAUACUCUAAGGAUAAGUUAGAUGAAGUGAAGGACGAAUGGACGAAAUAUAUGGUCACAAAUGUUAUCCCCAUGGGAAGUUGGAUAAUGUAACCGAAUAAGAAGAGUCGAGCGAUGGUAGGCGUUUCUGAGUCAAGUUAACACUAAUUAAGGAUUAUGAAGCAACAUCACAUACUAGGGAUUUUUAGAUAUUUUAUGAACUAAUUUUGACGUAAUGUUAUGUUUAACCACUCUACUAAUAUUUCUGUUUUAGUUUUUGAAUGUUUGAAGUACAUUAGUUUCUUUCGUUUGGAACUUCAAGUACUUGAAUUAAAUUUUUGAUGUAUGGAUCUUGUCACUAUUGAAUGAAUUAUAUA